RNAcentral lists this non-coding RNA (30 nucleotides) under Mus musculus (house mouse). Lineage: Eukaryota; Metazoa; Chordata; Mammalia; Rodentia; Muridae. The record is from RNAcentral.
UGUGAUUAAAGGCGUGCACUACCAUGCUGG